RNAcentral lists this ribosomal RNA (497 nucleotides) under uncultured bacterium. Its description in RNAcentral is "partial 16S ribosomal RNA". It matches the Rfam family "Bacterial small subunit ribosomal RNA", at positions 28 to 507 of the family's 1533-position model. The record is from RNAcentral.
GAUGAACGCUGGCGGCGUGCCUAAUACAUGCAAGUCGAGCGAACAGACGAGGAGCUUGCUCCUUCGACGUUAGCGGCGGACGGGUGAGUAACACGUAGGUAACCUACCUAUAAGACUGGGAUAACUUCGGGAAACCGGAGCUAAUACCGGAUAAUAUUUCGAACCGCAUGGUUCGAUAGUGAAAGAUGGCUUUGCUAUCACUUAUAGAUGGACCUGCGCCGUAUUAGCUAGUUGGUAAGGUAACGGCUUACCAAGGCAACGAUACGUAGCCGACCUGAGAGGGUGAUCGGCCACACUGGAACUGAGACACGGUCCAGACUCCUACGGGAGGCAGCAGUAGGGAAUCUUCCGCAAUGGGCGAAAGCCUGACGGAGCAACGCCGCGUGAGUGAUGAAGGUCUUCGGAUCGUAAAACUCUGUUAUUAGGGAAGAACAAAAGUGUAAGUAACUGUGCACGUCUUGACGGUACCUAAUCAGAAAGCCACGGCUAACUACGUG